GACGAACGCUGGCGGCGUGCUUAACACAUGCAAGUCGAACGGAAAGGCCCUGCUUUUGUGGGGUGCUCGAGUGGCGAACGGGUGAGUAACACGUGAGUAACCUGCCCUUGACUUUGGGAUAACUUCAGGAAACUGGGGCUAAUACUGGAUAGGAGCUCCUGCUGCAUGGUGUGGGUUGGAAAGUUUCGGCGGUUGGGGAUGGACUCGCGGCUUAUCAGCUUGUUGGUGGGGUAGUGGCUUACCAAGGCUUUGACGGGUAGCCGGCCUGUGAGGGUGACCGGCCACAUUGGGACUGAGAUACGGCCCAGACUCCAACGGGAGGCAGCAGUGGGGAAUAUUGCACAAUGGGCGGAAGCCUGAUGCAGCAACGCCGCGUGCGGGAUGACGGCCUUCGGGUUGUAAACCGCUUUCGCCUGUGACGAAGCGUGAGUGACGGUAAUGGGUAAAGAAGCACCGGCUAACUACGUG
Molecule: ribosomal RNA, 468 nt
Filed under: uncultured bacterium
Lineage: Bacteria
Description: partial 16S ribosomal RNA
Rfam family: Bacterial small subunit ribosomal RNA
Source: RNAcentral